UGCUAGUCGCGUGCUUCAGCCAAAACGAGGCACGGCAAACAGCUCAGUAACACGUGGCUAAUCUGCCCUUAGGACGCGAACAACCCCGGGAAACUGGGGCUAAUUCUCGAUAGGUGAAGAACUCUGGAAUGAGUCUUUGCCUAAAAGAGCUUACGUUAUGCUCGUAAGUUUCGCCUAAGGAUGAGGCCGCGACCGAUCAGGUUGUUGGUGAGGUAAUGGCUCACCAAGCCUUUUACCGGUGCGGGCCGUGAGAGCGGGAGCCCGGAGAUGGGCACUGAGACAAGGGCCCAGGCCCUACGGGGCGCAGCAGUCGCGAAAACUUUGCAAUACACGAAAGUGUGACAGGGCUAUCCCGAGUGCCAUCCGCUGAGGAAGGCUUUUACCCAGUCUAGAACGCUGGGGGAACAAGGAGAGGGCAAGUCUGGUGUCAGCCGCCGCGGUAAUACCAGCUCUCCGAGUGGUGUGGAUGUUUAUUGGGCCUAAAGCAUCCGUAGCUGGCUAGGUAAGUCCCCUGUUAAAUCCACCGAAUUAAUCGUUGGAUCGCGGGGGAUACUGCUUGGCUAGGGGACGAGAGAGGCAGACGGUAUUUUUGGGGUAGGGGUGAAAUCCUAUAAUCCCAGGAAGACCACCAGUGGCGAAGGCUGUCUGCUAGAACGCGCCCGACGGUGAGGGAUGAAAGCUGGGGGAGCGAACCGGAUUAGAUACCCGGGUAGUCCCAGCUGUAAACGAUGCAGACUAGGUGUUUGGACGGCCACGUGCCGUUCUAGUGCCGCAGGGAAGCUGUUAAGUCUGCCGCCUGGGGAGUACGAUCGCAAGAUUGAAACUUAA
RNAcentral lists this ribosomal RNA (828 nucleotides) under uncultured crenarchaeote. RNAcentral describes it as "bacterial SSU rRNA". It matches the Rfam family "Archaeal small subunit ribosomal RNA", at positions 52 to 859 of the family's 1478-position model. The record is from RNAcentral. Lineage: Archaea; Thermoproteati; Thermoproteota.